This 719-nucleotide long non-coding RNA is filed under the name Gopherus agassizii (Agassiz's desert tortoise). Its description in RNAcentral is "lncRNA (ENSGAGG00000014168.1)". Lineage: Eukaryota; Metazoa; Chordata; Testudines; Testudinidae. The record is from RNAcentral.
GGAGAGGGAAGCUGAGUCCCCCAAGAGCAGCUUGGCUCACCAUGCAUGCAGAGGAAGCAACCAGAGCAAGGUCUCCCGAGGCAGGUCCGGGGGUUCUGGAGGAGCUGCUGACCUAUGAUGACCUUUUCCUGGAGUAUUUCAAUGCCUUCCUGGCUCUGCCUGCCUUUCCUUUGAGACUGCGCUACGACCGGCUCAGGGGGCAGCUGCAGGAGCUGGAUGGCUUCCUCCCAGAGUCUCCCAGCCAGCCGGGGAUGAAGCCAAGCUCUCCUCACUAUGGAGCCACUGACGCAGAGAGGGAAAGGAUCCUGGGCUGGCUGAGGAGGGAGCGCUUACCCCCUUUUCAGAGGACGGCCCUUUACCUGGAGUACAAGCUGGCAAAGCUGCUGAUUCGUCCUCUGGAUGAAGGCUACCCAGUGAGCCGGCAUGAGAUUCGUGGGUACAGCCGUCAGUCUGAGAGAACUGCUGUCUCCAGCAUUCCCAGUCACCCAUCAACAGCUGGGCUGCCCACCAGGGUCCCCAGCCUCGGGCUGUGGAGGCCUCCUAGUCAGACCCGCAGCACUCCAGCCCACCUAGAAGGCUCCGUGGAUGGCUGGACUAAUGCUGGUGGGUCCGAGAGAUCCCUUGAUGGCCUGACCAGAGCCGCCUCUAGCUCUUCACCCACGGCAGGGCAACACUUGGGCAGGUAAGGCUACGAAGGGAUAAUGCAGGUCUCGGUGCUG